RNAcentral lists this ribosomal RNA (237 nucleotides) under uncultured bacterium. RNAcentral describes it as "partial 16S ribosomal RNA". It matches the Rfam family "Bacterial small subunit ribosomal RNA", at positions 100 to 334 of the family's 1533-position model. The record is from RNAcentral.
CCGGCACGGGUGAGUAACACGUAUCCAACCUGCCGUCUACUCUUGGACAGCCUUCUGAAAGGAAGGUUAAUACAAGAUGGCAUCAUGAGUUCACAUGUUCACAUGAUUAAAGGUAUUCCGGUAGACGAUGGGGAUGCGUUCCAUUAGAUAGUAGGCGGGGUAACGGCCCACCUAGUCUUCGAUGGAUAGGGGUUCUGAGAGGAAGGUCCCCCACAUUGGAACUGAGACACGGUCCAA